GGAAAUAUAGAAUAACAAAUGCAAGGAAAGGAGAGAAUAAAGAGAUUUAGGUGUUCACCAAAUAACAGAGAAGUGUUUAGAAGCGAGACAGGACAUUAACAAAGGUUCUGAGAGUAAAGAUUGGGCUGCUUGGGUCCUUAUGGCAGACAGAUCAGAAAGAGGAAGAGCUUUGAAUCACAGCUAACUGCGUCACAUCGUUUAUGUGAAAUUCCAGUGAAACCAGAGAAUGUCUAAUAUGAGACGGGCUCUGGCGAAACUAAAGUAAUGGCGCGUUCACACCAAAAGCGAAGGGGCGGCGCAACUUCCAUACAAAGUCAACGUAUAGACGCGUUCCAGGCGACGGGCGCGUUCGACUCCAUACAAAGUCAACGUAUAGUAAUGCUGUAGCCUACUUUAUAUCGUCUGUGGGGAAAUCCUGGGACUCUCAGAGUAUCAAACUACAACUGGAAAAAAAGAGAAGCUUAGGAAACACUUUUAUUUUGAAAACUUCUGAGUUAAGGGACAUAAAAGACAACAACCCCAAAAACACGCUGUCGGAAACACCUCGGAUCAAACCAGGGACAGGACAGACCCGGAAGAGGGAAGACAUGCAGUAAAGGACCACCUGUCUGAAUCAGGCAGCCUCCGGCUGUACGUGACCUCAUCAGCCCAGAGUGAAGGGACGUACAGGUGUACUCUCAGGUACGCAGACGAAGAAGACGUAACCCACAUUGAACCGAAGAUAUCUGAAGACCCUAUUGAAGAGGGAUCUUCUAGCACAGUUGGGAUCAUUUUAGUAGUCGUGGAUCCCGUUAUCAUUUUAUAUAUCAUAUAACCGAUAAAGGUAAAACCACUACUUUUCAUUCAUUAAUAACAUGUUUACUACACAUUUUUAUUUUAUAGAAUUUCUUGAGAAAGGUGGGGAGGUAACUUCUGGUUUAUUUAUGAGUGAUGUGGGACUGUGUAGUUUUACAAAUAGGAUUAUGAAGCUAUUAUUAAUAUAAUAUAACAUUUUUGUUACUCUUAGGCCAAAGAAGGACAAGGAAGGAGCUCAAACAACCAAAGUACUGAACCCUCUCAGGAAGUCGUUCCUCUGUCUGAGAUAACGGGUUCAACCUCCUGACCUUAUUACCGUACCAUCAGACACAGCAGGGUAAGACUGUGGUUGCAGGAGCCAGGAUCUUUACGUUGUA
Long non-coding RNA from Gadus chalcogrammus (walleye pollock), 1172 nucleotides. RefSeq lists it as uncharacterized. Lineage: Eukaryota; Metazoa; Chordata; Actinopteri; Gadiformes; Gadidae. The transcript is spliced from 3 exons. The record is from RefSeq and is a predicted model, not a curated record.